GUCUCCGCGUCCCUCCGAGCGCCGCGGCGAGGGGCGGCGGGCAGUCCCGGCGGGGGACUAUUUUCCGGCAGCGGAGGAGCACCGUCGCGGAUGGGCAGUAGUGGUGCAUCCCUUCCUGGUCGGAGGUGCCGAGGGCAGCGCCCCCUUCCCGCGUGUCCUGGUUUGAGGUGAAGCAGAACCAACUUUCUGUUCAGUAAUUUUAUUUCUCAGCUAGGCGUCUUCGAACUCUCUGAAAUUAUCAGCAUGUUGUGUCUGAAAAGGUUCGUUCAGAGCGAUAAGACAGUUUGUGCCAAGGAAUGGUGUGCACAGAGGCUCUUGCUUAUACUUACUGCUACAACAACCCAAGUCAGCUAAUUUUGUUAUUUGCCCCGUUGGGAGGGUCAGGAGCGGAAAAGCGUAGAGGGGUCCCACCUGCAGGGGGGACCGGACGGGACAGGUGACCCAAAACUGACCAACAGGGUAUUCCAUCCCAUCUGCCCCAUGCUCAGUAUAAAAGCUGAGGGAUCAAAGGGUCAAUCUCUUCCUUCAAUGGCUGAUGUCCGAGGAGGACCCUGUCUGUUCAUCUGCCUUUGAUCCUGAUCCGUGGGCUCCUGACUCCAUCUGUGGAACCCGGUUCCCACUCGUGCUGAGUCCGGCCUGGGACGUCCCCAGUGCCUGCUGGUGACGUCAUCCUGAGAGCUUAAUAGGGUUGCGUGUAUACUGUAUCUCUUUCAUUAUUUUCCUUUUUAUCUUAAUUUCUAACUCAUUAAAGUUGUUUAGUUUCUUCUAAA
Chroicocephalus ridibundus (black-headed gull) is the source of this 770-nucleotide long non-coding RNA. RefSeq lists it as uncharacterized. Lineage: Eukaryota; Metazoa; Chordata; Aves; Charadriiformes; Laridae. The transcript is spliced from 2 exons. The record is from RefSeq and is a predicted model, not a curated record.